This 472-nucleotide ribosomal RNA is filed under the name uncultured bacterium. Its description in RNAcentral is "SSU rRNA". It matches the Rfam family "Bacterial small subunit ribosomal RNA", at positions 26 to 518 of the family's 1533-position model. The record is from RNAcentral.
AGGACGAACGCUGGCGGCGUGCUUAACACAUGCAAGUCGAGCGGAAAGGCCCUUCGGGGUACUCGAGCGGCGAACGGGUGAGUAACACGUGAGUAAUCUGCCCCUAGCUCUGGGAUAGCUCCGGGAAACCGGGAUUAAUACCGGAUAUGACCACUUUAGACAUCUGCUGUGGUGGAAAGAAUUUCGGCUAGGGAUGAGCUCGCGGCCUAUCAGCUUGUUGGUGGGGUAACGGCCUACCAAGGCGACGACGGGUAGCCGGCCUGAGAGGGCGACCGGCCACACUGGGACUGAGACACGGCCCAGACUCCUACGGGAGGCAGCAGUGGGGAAUAUUGCGCAAUGGGCGAAAGCCUGACGCAGCGACGCCGCGUGGGGGAUGAAGGCCUUCGGGUUGUAACCCUUUCAGCAGGGACGAAGCGAAAGUGACGGUACCUGCAGAAGAAGCGCCGGCUAACUACGUGCCAGCAGCCGC